GCCGGGUUAGCCAAGUGGUCAAAGGCGACAGACUCAAGAUCUGUUCCCGCAGGGGUUCGCAGGUUCAAGUCCUGCACCCGGCA
This 83-nucleotide transfer RNA is filed under the name Candidatus Nanosalina sp. J07AB43. It matches the Rfam family "tRNA". Rfam says of the family: Transfer RNA (tRNA) molecules are approximately 80 nucleotides in length. Their secondary structure includes four short double-helical elements and three loops (D, anti-codon, and T loops). Lineage: Archaea; Methanobacteriati; Methanobacteriota; Candidatus Nanohaloarchaea. The record is from Rfam by way of RNAcentral.